Molecule: ribosomal RNA, 1021 nt
Filed under: uncultured Pseudomonadota bacterium
Lineage: Bacteria; Pseudomonadati; Pseudomonadota
Description: bacterial SSU rRNA
Rfam family: Bacterial small subunit ribosomal RNA
Source: RNAcentral
GCAAGUCGAACGGUAACAGGUUAAGCUGACGAGUGGCGAACGGGUGAGUCAUAUAUCGGAACGUGCCCAGUUGUGGGGGAUAACUACUCGAAAGAGUGGCUAAUACCGCAUGAGACCUGAGGGUGAAAGCGGGGGAUCGCAAGACCUCGCGCGAUUGGAGCGGCCGAUAUCAGAUUAGCUUGUUGGUGGGGUAAAAGCCCACCAAGGCAACGAUCUGUAGCUGGUCUGAGAGGACGACCAGCCACACUAGGACUGAGACACGGCCCAGACUCCUACGGGAGGCAGCAGUGGGGAAUUUUGGACAAUGGACGAAAGUCUGAUCCAGCCAUGCCGCGUGCGGGAAGAAGGCCUUCGGGUUGUAAACCGCUUUUGUCAGGGAAGAAACGGCUCGCUCUAAUACAGUGGGCUAAUGACGGUACCUGAAGAAUAAGCACCGGCUAACUACGUGCCAGCAGCCGCGGUAAUACGUAGGGUGCAAGCGUUAAUCGGAAUUACUGGGCGUAAAGCGCACGUAGGCGGUUUUUUAAGUCAGAUGUGAAAGCCCCGGGCUCAACCUGGGAAUUGCAUUUGAAACUGGAAAACUAGAGUGUGUGAGAGGGGGGUAGAAUUCCAAGUGUAGCGGUGAAAUGCGUAGAGAUUUGGAGGAAUACCAGUGGCGAAGGCGGCCCCCUGGCACAACACUGACGCUCAGGUGCGAAAGCGUGGGGAGCAAACAGGAUUAGAUACCCUGGUAGUCCACGCCGUAAACGAUGUCUACUAGCUGUUCGUGGUCUUGUACUGUGAGUAGCGCAGCUAACGCAUUAAGUAGACCGCCUGGGGAGUACGGUCGCAAGAUUAAAACUCAAAUGAAUUGACGGGGGCCCGCACAAGCGGUGGAGCAUGUGGUUUAAUUCGACGCAACGCGAAGAACCUUACCUACUCUUGACAUCUAGCGAAGAUUGUAGAGAUACGAUUGUGCCUUCGGGAACGCUAAGACAGGUGCUGCAUGGCUGUCGUCAGCUCGUGUUGUGAAAUGUUGGGG